This 404-nucleotide unclassified non-coding RNA is filed under the name soil metagenome. RNAcentral describes it as "partial contains 5.8S ribosomal RNA, internal transcribed spacer 2, and large subunit ribosomal RNA". The stretch from base 1 to 122 matches the Rfam family "5.8S ribosomal RNA", at positions 35 to 154 of the family's 154-position model. The record is from RNAcentral.
GAUGAAGAACGUAGCAAAAUGCGAUACUUGGUGUGAAUUGCAGAAUCCCGUGAACCAUCGAGUUUUUGAACGCAAGUUGCGCCCGAAGCGUUUUGGCCGAGGGCACGUCUGCCUGGGCGUCACGCAUCGCGUCGCCCCCCACAAUUCUCCGUAAAGGGAACAUGUGUUUUGGGGGCGGAUAUUGGUCUCCCGUGCUCAUGGCGUGGUUGGCCGAAAUAGGAGUCCUUUCGAUGGACGCACGAACUAGUGGUGGUCGUAAAAACCCUCGUCUUUUGUUUCGUGCUGUUGCUCGCAAGGUAAACUCUUUAAAAACCCCAAUGUGUCGUCUCUUGACGACGCUUCGACCGCGACCCCAGGUCAGGCGGGACUACCCGCUGAGUUUAAGCAUAUCAAUAAGCGGAGGA